GGCAUUAUUGGCACCAUCUGUGGCGGAGGUCCAGGCUGCUUCGGGACAGGAGCGGGAGCGGGAGCUGGAGCAGGUGCCGGUGCUGGUGCUGGAGCAGGUGCGGGUGCAGCUUUGGGCGCAGCAGGUUUCUCGGGUUCUUUAGGCUUCUCGGGUUGCUUAGGCUUUUCAGGUUCUUUAGGUUUCUCGGGUUCUUUAGGCUUUUCAGGUUGCUUAGGCUUUUCAGGCUCUUUAGGUUUCUCUGGCUCCUUAGGCUUCUCGGGAGCAUCUUUGGGCUUUUGGGGAGGAGGUUGGGGUUGUGGCUGAGGCGGCUUUGGUGGUUCUAAGAUCUCGAUGGUCUUGAUAGAGCCGCCACCUUUAGAACAAAGUUUGUCC
This 372-nucleotide long non-coding RNA is filed under the name Brassica napus (rape). RNAcentral describes it as "long non-coding RNA (BNAP_LNC006707)". Lineage: Eukaryota; Viridiplantae; Streptophyta; Magnoliopsida; Brassicales; Brassicaceae. The record is from RNAcentral.